RNAcentral lists this ribosomal RNA (253 nucleotides) under uncultured bacterium. RNAcentral describes it as "partial 16S ribosomal RNA". It matches the Rfam family "Bacterial small subunit ribosomal RNA", at positions 524 to 776 of the family's 1533-position model. The record is from RNAcentral.
GACAGAGGAUGCAAGCGUUAUCCGGAAUCAUUGGGCGUAAAGCGCGCGUAGGCGGCCCGGUAAGUCCGCUGUAAAAGUCCAGGGCUCAACCCUGGAACGCCGGUGGAUACUGUCGGGCUAGAGUCCGGAAGAGGCGAGUGGAAUUCCUGGUGUAGCGGUGGAAUGCGCAGAUAUCAGGAGGAACACCUAUUGCGAAGGCAGCUCGCUGGGACGUAACUGACGCUGAGACGCGAAAGCGUGGGGAGCAAACAGG